RNAcentral lists this transfer RNA (77 nucleotides) under Gammaproteobacteria bacterium. Its description in RNAcentral is "tRNA-Asp". It matches the Rfam family "tRNA". Rfam says of the family: Transfer RNA (tRNA) molecules are approximately 80 nucleotides in length. Their secondary structure includes four short double-helical elements and three loops (D, anti-codon, and T loops). Further hydrogen bonds mediate the characteristic L-shaped molecular structure. tRNAs have two regions of fundamental functional importance: the anti-codon, which is responsible for specific mRNA codon recognition, and the 3' end, to which the tRNAs corresponding amino acid is attached (by aminoacyl-tRNA synthetases). tRNAs cope with the degeneracy of the genetic code in two manners: having more than one tRNA (with a specific anti-codon) for a particular amino acid; and 'wobble' base-pairing, i.e. permitting non-standard base-pairing at the 3rd anti-codon position. Lineage: Bacteria; Pseudomonadati; Pseudomonadota; Gammaproteobacteria. The record is from RNAcentral.
GCUGCGGUAGCUCAAACGGCCAGAGCGCUUGAUUGUCGAUCAUGAAGAUGCCGGUUCAAGUCCGACUCGCAGCGCCA